Ribozyme from Parambassis ranga (Indian glassy fish), 256 nucleotides. It matches the Rfam family "RNase MRP". Rfam says of the family: RNase MRP is an enzymatically active ribonucleoprotein with two distinct roles in eukaryotes. Lineage: Eukaryota; Metazoa; Chordata; Actinopteri; Ambassidae. The record is from Ensembl.
GGGCAUUCAGAAGGCUUGCACUCUGGGCUACACACUGAGAACCAGUUUCUCUCCCCCCGCCCAGGGGAAAGUCCCCGGACCCGUGGCAGAAAGUGCCCUGGUUAAACCCAGUGCCGGCUCGCAUCUCACCGCAUCCAGCUGAGACGUUCACAUGAACUGAGCUCGGUGAUCCGCAGUCGACUUUGUCAGCGUUGAUAGUAAUGCAAGUGAGUUGCUACUAACGCCUUAACACAACGGGGCUCAUUCUCCGAAUGCU